GCCUGGAACACAGCAGAGUAGAUAGACAGCAGUAAACAGUCGUGCUCAGAACUACUGUGCAUUAAGAGCCAACACACCUUGGUACGGCUUUUUCCUUCAGCACUAUGGCAGGUCUUGGUAUAAGGACAGUAAAGGAGUGUAAACCCUCUUCAGACGCCGUGUGUGGAGCCCUGGAAGGAAACUAUUGUAUUGAUCCUUAUGAGGGAGGAUGUAGAGCAGCACAGAAACACACAAUCUGCAAACCUGGACAGUUCAUCAAAUAUCCCGGAACAGAGUCUACUGACACUAUGUGAGGAUUGCUCUGAACAGUCCUACUCAAAUGGAUCUUCUGCAUCCUGUACACCACACACACAGAGGUCAUGGCGGCAACAGGGAGAGCAGAGAAGCCUAG
Molecule: long non-coding RNA, 391 nt
Organism: Scleropages formosus (Asian bonytongue)
Lineage: Eukaryota; Metazoa; Chordata; Actinopteri; Osteoglossiformes; Osteoglossidae
Exons: 4
Source: RefSeq, a predicted model, not a curated record